This 432-nucleotide ribosomal RNA is filed under the name uncultured bacterium. Its description in RNAcentral is "partial 16S ribosomal RNA". It matches the Rfam family "Bacterial small subunit ribosomal RNA", at positions 29 to 507 of the family's 1533-position model. The record is from RNAcentral.
ACGAACGCUGGCGGCAGGCUUAACACAUGCAAGUCGAGCGAGACCUUCGGGUCUAGCGGCGGACGGGUGAGUAACGCGUGGGAACGUGCCCUUCUCUACGGAAUAGCCCCGGGAAACUGGGAGUAAUACCGUAUACGCCCUUUGGGGGAAAGAUUUAUCGGAGAAGGAUCGGCCCGCGUUGGAUUAGGUAGUUGGUGGGGUAAUGGCCCACCAAGCCGACGAUCCAUAGCUGGUUUGAGAGGAUGAUCAGCCACACUGGGACUGAGACACGGCCCAGACUCCUACGGGAGGCAGCAGUGGGGAAUCUUAGACAAUGGGGGCAACCCUGAUCUAGCCAUGCCGCGUGAGUGAUGAAGGCCUUAGGGUUGUAAAGCUCUUUCAGCUGGGAAGAUAAUGACGGUACCAGCAGAAGAAGCCCCGGCUAACUCCGUG